UCCUCCCUCUGGCGGCGUGCUUAACACAUGCAAGUCGAACGGAAAGGCCCUGCUUUUGUGGGGUGCUCGAGUGGCGAACGGGUGAGUAACACGUGAGUAACCUGCCAUUGACUUUGGGAUAACUUCAGGAAACUGGGGCUAAUACCGGAUAGGAGCUCCUGCUGCAUGGUGGGGGUUGGAAAGUUUCUGCGGUUGGGGAUGGACUCGCGGCUUAUCAGCUUGUUGGUGGGGUAGUGGCUUACCAAGGCUUUGACGGGUAGCCGGCCUGAGAGGGUGACCGGCAACAUUGGGACUGAGAUACGGCCCAGACUCCUACGGGAGGCAGCAGUGGGGAAUAUUGCACAAUGGGCGGAAGCCUGAUGCAGCAACGCCGCGUGCGGGAUGACGGCCUUCGGGUUGUAAACCGCUUUCGCCUGUGACGAAGCGUGAGUGACGGUAAUGGGUAAAGAAGCACCGGCUAACUACGUG
RNAcentral lists this ribosomal RNA (468 nucleotides) under uncultured bacterium. Its description in RNAcentral is "partial 16S ribosomal RNA". It matches the Rfam family "Bacterial small subunit ribosomal RNA", at positions 36 to 507 of the family's 1533-position model. The record is from RNAcentral.